Molecule: long non-coding RNA, 8300 nt
Organism: Homo sapiens (human)
Lineage: Eukaryota; Metazoa; Chordata; Mammalia; Primates; Hominidae
Exons: 2
Source: RefSeq, a predicted model, not a curated record
GUCUUUCAAGACUCCGUCAUCUAGCUUCGGGGGGCGGUGGCGGUGGCGGUGGCGGCGGCGGCGGCUGUCCUGCGACCCGGCCUGGCAGGCUUGCGGCCGCCGCGUUCCUGAAAAGUGCGCCGCGGCGGCCCGCGCCCAGGCCUCCCUCCGCGCGGGACCCCGGAGCGUUGCGGGCGGCGGGGUAGACCCGGGCAGUUUGGCCCCAGUCCUCACCCCUCUGAGGGCCGAAGUCCGCCCUGCGCUGCGUGGGAGGCUGGCGCGGAGGGCGCCGCGGCCCAGUUGUGUCACUUUUCCCGUCCGCCCCCCUGUUGACUAGUCCUCCCAGCGGGGCAGCGAGUUGCCGUGCUGUGCCAGACGUAGAGGGCCCCAGUGUGUGAUGUUCCCUUUCCUGAGUAACACCAUUUUCUAUCUAAAUGAAGAAAUGGAGGCAUGGAAGGUAAGUGACUAGCCAAGGUCACUCACCUAGCCAGCAGCGAAACUGGAUUUGGGCCCAGAUCAUAAGGUCUCACACUUAACUACUGUGCUAUACUGCCUACUCUCUAUCUCUUACCUCAGACAUUCAGGCCCAUCCUCUUCUCCUGGAAAUUUACCUUUAUUUAACUCUAUCACAGCUUACCCAAAUAGUCUAGGUGAAAUGCAUCAGAUAUAAAAAAUAGUUGAUAAAUUACCUGAAGCUGUGCUAACCCCUGAGAAUUGCGUAAUGUACUGGCUCUUAGGAAGGAGGGAGAAAAGGAGUGUUGUAUUUUAACAGAAAAGGUCUUAAUGCAGAUACAUAUAUAGAGUGGUCUUUAAGCACCUUGGCAGGCUGGUGGGGAAGAUGUUUAGGACCUCUGGGGUUCUUUUGACACCUCAUAAGCCACAUUGUUCAGGCAAUCCCUACUUCUGGAAUAAGGCUUGGCCUGGUAGGAGUUGAAUUUGUCAUUGAGAUAAAGGUUUCAGCAUCACUUACUUGAUGGUUCAUCAGUCUGGGUGUUCACUGUGGACCCAGUCUGUUUUUGUUGUUGGUUUUGUUUUGUUUUGUUUUGUUUUGUUUUUUUGUAACAUGGUCUGGUUCUGUCACCCAGGCUAGAGUGCAGUGGCAUGAUCUAGGCUCACCAUAGCCUUGACCUCCUGGGCUCAAGCCAUCCACCCGCCUUAGCCUCCUGAGUAGCUGGGACUACAGGCUCAUGCCACCACACCCAGCUAAUUUUUGUAGAGAUGGGGUCUCCCCAUGUUGCUCAGGCUGGUUUUAAACUCCUGGGCUCAAGCGAUCUGCCCAUCUCGGCCUCCCCAAGUGCUGAGAUUGCAGGUGUGAGCCACUGCACCAGGCUCCCCGUCUGUUUUUAACCCGUUUUCUCCCCAACUAUGUUAUAAUUAAUUACAUAUAUAUAUAUAUAGAGAGAGAGAGAGAGAUGGGUUUUCACCAUGUUGGCCAGGCUGGUCUCGAAUUUCUGGCCUCAAGUGAUCCACCCGCCUCGGCCUCCCAAAGUGCUGGGAUUACAGGCAUGAGCCAUAGCGCCUGGACUAAUUACCCAUAUAUUUGAGGACAAUGUAUUUACCCUUCCCUGAAUCCCAGAUUUAUUCAGAGCUUGUGAUGUGUCAUGGCAUAGUGCUAGGUACUGGUGACAUGAGAAAGAGGAUUUUAAUAUUGAACGUCCCCCGCAGGACUGUAAGGCAUAUUGCAGAAGUGGGUACAUAAAUGCUGUGUGGAUACUUCACUGCCUGAGAGGAGUUAGGGGGAACGACUAAUCUGGGGCUGAAAGGAUGAACAGGAGUUUGAUAGCAGGGCAGGACAUUUGAGAGGAAGGGAACAAGGCCUUGACUGGGCAUAACAAUCAGUCUGAUGCACUGGACCAUAGGAUUCCUUCUGAAAACUGGCAAGAGAUGUCAGUUGGGACCAUCUGCGAAUGGCCUUGCUGUCAUGGCAUUGGAACUUUGCAGAGUGAGCCAUGUGAGCUUUUUGCCUAGGUUUCCUUGUCUAUAAGAUAACAGGAUUCUCCUAGCUCAGAGGACACACACUCAAGUGCCUGCAGGAUUCAGCCAGGUAACACCAUGCCAUGACUCAGGAUUAGUGCUGGCUGAUAUUUGGCCUUGGCCUUGGGAACCAUGGGGACACUGGAACCAUCUAUGAGAGGCUGAAUGGUUACUAGGUGAAAAUGUAGGUUCACUGUUUGCAUAUUUUCUCAUUUUAAAAAGAGAUACUAGAGAUCUGAAUUUUUAUGUGAAGUCUUCAAAAUUUUAAAAUGUUGGCAAUUAAUUACAAUGUUAAAAUGCCAUCUAGACUAAUCCUUGGAAAACCCAAGAAGACAAUGUCUGUGGGUGCCAUUUGUGAUCUCUGGACUGAAUAUCUCUAAGAAUCUGUCUUGCUCCAGCAUUCUAUAACUCCCAGCCACCUGUGAAAUUGUAGGGAACAGCACCCUGGGCUCCAUUUAAUUGUCAAGUUGACUAGACUUUAUUUUGUUUAAGAGUCAGGGCUGCUACUUACCUCUUGGUUGUAGGAAUUUAUAACCUAUUAAGAAAAUUGGAAUUGGCUUUUUACAAAUUUUCUACUUCAUCCACUCUCCAGCCACUACUCUGUCUCCCUCCUUCCUGUCCCCCUGAAUUGAUGAUGUAAGCAGCUGGCAUUGCCUUGGCAAUAUGAUAGGAAACACUUUUUUAGGGCAUCCAUAUCCCGUGGGAACUCUUAUCUGUUUAUUUUCUCCACUUGGCAUCUAUCCACAGGAAGCCAGCAUUCCUAACUCCCUUACCUUACAGAACUUCUUGUUUUGUGAUAACACAGAAACAUUUUAUUGGAAAGGACUGGAAGGCACCUCUCCCACCACACCCUGCAAUCCAUCUUCUAGAGAUGAUUGAGCAAUAUGAAAUAUAAUAAUUGUAAGUCAUUAUCAAAUGGCUUGGCUCCAGAUUGAGAGAAUCAGCAAUUAACCUCUGCCUUUCGUGUUUUAUUUCUGGAGAUACCUGUCUCUUAACCAACCACUAACAUCACACGUAGCACAUCCAGAAUUUAGAAAGGAUUUGCUCUGGGCACAGUAGAUGAGCACACAGAUUCUACAGAGAGAUUGAAGUGAUUUAUUUGUGACAAAUUUUUGCAAGUCUUGGGGAUUGAGUGUAAGGGAGUAUUCAAGCAGUUGGACUUACUAUGUGAAAGAAGACAUAAGACAUAUUUACUGCUCAGCCUGAUGCCUGGCACAUAGUAAGUGCUUAAUUACAAUUAUUCCUACUGCCAAGCACCAUCAUUAUCUUUACUUUCACUGCAAUUAACAUAGAAUGAGCUAGUCUUAUUCUCUAGAGAAUACUUUCUAUUCUUUAGAACUCUAGUUAUAAAAUCAAUAAAAUUCUUUGGUAUAUGGUAUAUAGAUGAUAUGAUUAAAAGGAUCCAUCCAGCCAGGUAUUCUGGCUGCACUGAGACACCAGUGACUAUCUAAAAAACCACUCAAAUGGGCUUACCUCUCAUGGCACUGGGACUUUGCCUACAGGCAGUGGUGAGCCAUGUGAUGUUUUGCUUUGGUUUCCUCAUCUAUGAGAUGAUAGGAUUGCACCAGCUCAGGAGUGGUACACUCAAGUGCCCCAGGAAUCAGAGAGGUAAAAAAUGCCAUGCCUGAGCGUUAGUGCCGGCUGACACUUGGCCUUAGCACUUGGGAGACAUAGGAAUAGUUGGAAGCAUCUAUGGGGCCUGGGCUUUGCCUCCCAUUGGCUAAAUGGUUAGUAUACACAAUCUCAUCAGAUCUUUAUAAACAACUCUGUAGGAUGAAUAUUUUAUUUCCAUUAAAAAGAUGAGAAAAUUGAAGCUUUGCUAGAUGUCAGUAAUUGGUGCAAGGGGGCAGGGUUGUUAAGGUAGAGCAGAAUACCUGUUUCAAAGACCAUUCCUUUCGGGGAGAGCAUGGUAUUUGUCCUUCAUGAAAUCUGCCUUAAAGUUCAGGAAGUUGCCUGCAACUUCUUGACUUCCCCUUAACAACUGACUGUGAAUCUGUCACUUAAAUAUUGUUCUAAAUGUGUCUUUAGCUUGUGUUUUCAGUAACUGUGGCCCACAGUUUCUUAAUGAGAGUCUGAUAAUAAACAAGUUAAACAAUGAAAAAGGGUUCUCUCCUUAGGGCCCUUGCCUGAGCUUGUUUCUAUUUCCUCUGGGAGGAAAAAAGAAAGAGAUGUGUCAGAACAGAGGUGGAACUUCUCAGAGAUUGAGAGAUCCGUCUACUGUAACUUAGUCAUCACCAUCAAUUUUGUUACCUGAGGCAGGCAGAGCUGCUACCUCCCACAGCCUGUGGUUAUCCUCACAACAGAGUUACUAAGCACGGAGCCCUCCAGGCCCCUGCCAAGCGCACCCUGCAUGUGCCUUACGCAAGGUGUCCCUGAGCAUUGAAUGUUGGGUGGGGUGGGGGUUGCCCAAGGUUAUAGCAAUAAAGAAAAAACAUAGUGCCAGGUGCUUCUCUGAAAUCAUUUACCCCUUCUUUUGUAGUUAGGUUUUGGCUUUCAAAAGACAAAAAAAAAAAAAAAAAAAAAAAAAGCUUAUAAACAGUUCAUUCUAAAAGGACAAAGGCAAUAUGUAUUGUAUGCUUAAAAUUUCCAAGGCUCUGGAAAAUGUCUUUGGGAGAAUUAGAAAGUGUAGACUAUAUGCUAAAGCAUUGCAGACCCAGAAGAUAGAUGAUUCAGUUCAUUCUAAUAAACAUAACAUGUAUGGCAUGCUGCAUGCUAGGCAGCAAUGCAAAGAGGAAUAAUAUAUGGACUUUGCUUCAUGGCUCUAGCUGCCUAGGGGAGAUGCAGAUGCUUAAACAGAUAAUACAAUACUGUGGAUUAAAGCUCUAGAAGCCGUGCAGCUUUGGGAGUACAGACAAGGGAUGUCCAACUCUGAGUCUCACCCUUUAAAGAUGUGAGGUCUUGUUAGUGUGUACAUUUUUAUGGAUGAGAGGGAUUGGGCACAGUUAUUCCCUAACAUACACAUUCCCUUUGAAGCUGGGAACUGCAAGGAAUGUGCACAUUCCUGAGAGAUUAGAAAACAUCUAAAAGUGAGAACUUUCAGGUGAGCCUCUUAAAAUGCAUUGAUUACAGAUGGGACCGACCCUUUGGGUGCUAUUGAAAAUUCUUAUCAUUAUGGAUCCUUCUUUCAGAAGGGGAAAGAGAAGGGAAGUGACAUUUACAGGGCACCGCCAUGGGCCAAACGCCUUACAGGUUCAUGUUCAGGAGAGCCCUCUGAGAUGAGCUUUUUGACAUCUUUCUAAGCUUAGGGAAUGAAGGCUCAGAGAAGUUAAGCAACUUGUCCAGGAUCAGACAGUUAGAAUGUGACCAAACAAGGAUUCUAAUCCAGGCCUGUCUGACUCCAAGUUCCGUCCUCUUUCUACAUUUCUGCUACACAGUCCUAAUUCCUUGAGUUUUCACUCCCUGUAUGAGUGUUUGCCAUUUUUCUCUCUUUUUUUUUUUGUUACCACCACUUCGCCUUUAUAGAGCCAGCCCUUUACACAUUCCUUAGCACUUUCAGGUGCACUGAUUUGAAGUCUUUGAGCCACUGAUGACUCUAGCUUUUAAAAGGAGGUACAGAUUAAAGUGAAUGGGAUCAUUGCCAUCACGUGAACAUUCCUGUCACCAUCGGUUUGAUCAGAGAACAGGCAUGGUGAUAGCCUGCACUUAUCUUUGCUUCUUUGCUAGGCACUGGGCAGAAUGAUUUAGACAUAUGGAAUCUCUGUUUUCCAGGGACAGAUGACAGAUUCCAGAGGAAAUGGUGCAGUAUAAUUAAAAAUAACUAAGGAAGUAUGAUUUUCUUAUUUUGUGUUUAAAAAAUGGUUGGGAGUUGCCACGGGCAGUCUGAGGCUGCACUAGAGUACUAUGCUGUAACCUGGAAGACUGCUUUGAGAAGGAAGUUAGAUGACUAUAUGAAGAAGGUGUUAGAUAAGUGCACUGAGAUGUGUGUGUGUGUGUGUGUGUGUGUGUGUGUGACAGUGUGUGUGCUGGAGAAGGGAGGUUAAGGAUCAAAGGUAUGGAAUAAGCAAGGGAGAGAAGGCUCAGAAACAAAAAUAGAAAAUAUCAGGCAUCAGGAGAAGAAAGGCUGAACUCUUUGUAGAGGCUUUGAGGCCACGUGGUAGCAAGAAAGAAUGCAGGGGUCAGAGGGUACACUUGCUAUGGUGCGGCUCAGGUUAACCACCUAAUCUCACGGGGUCUCAGUCUCGUCAGUGGUAAAACAGAAAUAAUAAUAUCUCAAGAAUUAUUGGGAGGAUUGAAUGAAGUCUUGUUUCAGCUCUCCAGAAACUGAGAUGUGCCCUCCAAAUGUUUGUGAUCAGCGUCAGCUUGGUUUAAAUCUGAAGCUCCUGGAGAGCCUUUGGGAGGGGAGGGUCACAUUCUGUGGUGAAUAGAGAAAGUCAGCAGUCACUGUGAGCAUGGGGUAUAGCGAGUGAUAAGGAAGAACUGACUUAGCAAGACUAGGUUGUGGAAACAAGAGAAGCUGAAGAGCAACCGUGAAUUAGGACAUUCUCGUGGAUUCAUUUCUUGUUAUCACCACUGAUCCAGACUCCCUCCACCUUUCUUUCCUCUGGGCUUCCUGCACUUUCAUUGCUCUGCUAUUUUGAAUAGAGGAGAAGUCCUUGAGUCCCAGUUCAGGAGAAGCAACUAGAAAGGGCCAGCGUGCAUAGCUGGGCCAUCCUGCAAAUGCUUUUUCCAAGAGCUGCAGCCCUGAAAGCUGGGGCCAGAGAAGGAGGUGGAGGACGAAGAUGGGGUUGGAAACAAACUCAGGGAAAACUUCUAAAGUGACAGAAAGUGAGAAUUGAGACAAUUUCUGCCUGAAAUCACCUGUCCAGCUAUUAGUCAUUAACCCACCUGGAACCAAAUGCAGUUAAUUUAGCACCAUGUUGGAAAGCUUAGAACAUGAACCACAUCCUAGGGCCAGGUUUUGAUCCUUUGUAAAGGCUUCUCUUUUGGAACACAAUUUGGUGUCAGUACAUAGGAACUAACAAGUGUGCUGAGUUGUGAGUCAUCAGCAGUCUGCUUUCCUCCAGAACAUCAUGGGAAAAGAAUGGGCAGACUGCUUCAGAUAAAACCUGGACCCACUCAAACUUUUACUGUAGACUGGAAACAAAACAAAUCGACUUUAAAAAGAAUGUUUUAAAAAUCUAAUUGAACUCAGAAAGGAGACAUAAGCCUCUGUUCUUUGGUUUCAAUGUGGAUCUGAAGUCUUGUUUUGUUUACUGUUCAGUCUUCAGGCAAUCGCAUCAGGUGUUAUUUACAACUCAGUAGAUUCUUGGGGAGUUCACACAGGCCUUUUAAAGCACAUUUGUGAAAUGAUCGUACCAUACUAGGGUUUGGGGAUACAAAGAUGACAGAUGUGGUCCCUGACUUUGAGGAUGACACAGUCUAGAGGAGAGCUUGCAUAAAUAGUGUGUAUAUAAUGAGUGACUUCAUAAAGGUGCAGUAUACAUGAGCUGCUUUAGGAGCCCUGCCUGAACACUGCCCCACACUGGGGUGAAGUCUUCUUGUCACACUGGAUGGUGCUGCUCUUGAGACUUCCAGAGCUUCCUCCAUAAAGCUUGGAAGGGCAAGCUGUGUUUUUCUCUGCUUGGAUAUAAUUUAUUAUGCUUUGGACAUAGUAUCAGCAAAGACUUGAGGAUCCUUUAAUAAGGAUCCUUUAAUUAUGAACUCUCAUUCAUAAGGAAUUGCAUAUUUUUAUUUUAAAUGUCUUUGCACUUCCCUUUGGUAAGCAAUCUAGGGUUCCUAAUGUGCAUAGCCUUUUGGGUAAACGUGUGUUUCUGGUGUUCUAAUGAUAGCUAGUGAAUGUGUGAAUUAUAUUCUUGGCCUUACUUGAAAUGAUGCGAGGUUUCUGUUGUAUAGUGUUAAAGGUGAGCCUGAUUAUUUGAAGCCCUUCCCUAGGCAGUGGGCACAGUGGAUAAGAAGGGAGAGCAUAUUGGGUAAAAUGACAGUGCUCCAGGAUUCCAUUACAUUUAGUGGCAUUUUGGGAUAUUGUUUUAUUUGAUUCCACUGUCGUUCAUGAUAUGCCAUCUGUCUUUAUUUCCUUUCCUUUGUUUGCUUUGGGUUUAAUUUUCUCUUAUUUGUCUAGUUUCUUAAUAUGGAAGCUGAGGUCACUGGUUGAAAACAUUUUCUCUCUAUUAUAAGCACUUAAUGCUAUAAAUUUCCCUCUACUCCUGCUUCAGCUGCAUCCCACAUAUUUUGACAUGUUUUUAUUUUUAAUCUGUUUAAAAGACUUUCUAAUUUCCUUUUUGAUUUUUUUUGACUCAGGUUAUUUAGAAGUGUGUUAUUUAGGAUAUUUGGAUAUUUUCCAGGUAUGAUUCUGUUAUUUAUUUCUAGCUUCAUUUUAUUGUGGUCAGAAAAUAAACUGUGUUUAACUU